Long non-coding RNA from Coffea arabica (coffee), 2288 nucleotides. RefSeq lists it as uncharacterized. NCBI's taxonomy places the organism in Eukaryota, Viridiplantae, Streptophyta, Magnoliopsida, Gentianales, Rubiaceae. The record is from RefSeq and is a predicted model, not a curated record.
AGCCUCGACAGUAGGAGAGUUUCAUAAACACCGGAGCCAGCUAAUUUGUUUCGUCUCUGAGAACGAACUCAAGAAAUGAACUGAGGCAGCACAGAGAAAUAAAAAAUGGGGGAAUUCUCUGAGGGUUGUUGCCCACUCUCUGCAUGCCAAUGAUUUCAUUCAAAUCGAAAGAAAAAUUAACAACCCUUCUCAGUUUUUAAGUACUCGUGCAUGUAUUUAUGUGUGUUUAUGUAUAUAUAUAUAUCUGUGUGUGAUCUCUGGGGCGGUGGAUCUCUGGUUAUUGCUAAUAUGGAAUACUGGCUUCUACUUCACAUUUCCAACACCACCUUUACCAAUCCAAUCUCCUUUUUUAUCUCAGACUUAGCUCCUUUCCACUGUUAUAGGCUGUGACGAUCGAAUUCGAUUGCUCUUGGGUUCAUCUGGGCAUUGAGGUUAUUCGACCCGCAUCUUGGCGGGGCAACCCGGAUGGCCUGUGGAUUGAUCUUGGGCAACUGUGGUUUUGCAGCCAUGGCGGUGUCUCUCCUUCUUUGCCUGAUUACAUCACGGAUCUGAGCCUUACUUAUAUCCACAUUUUAAAAAUAAAUAUCCACACGGGGCGGACACGAAGCUCAAUGCUUUCAAGUCAGCCCGCACCAUUUCUUUGAUUGGCUAUGGCUUUUCUCCCACUGAGGACUGAGACAAUAAGCAAUUGGCAGGUUUUACGUCCUUCAUGUCUAGUUUAAAGGUUUUUUGAAAAAAAAAAUGAAGAAAGAAAAAGAGGGAAGAGGAAGGGCAAAUUGAUAAUCUUAAUUAAAUAAUGUGACUUUUAUUUUAUGUCUUGGGCACUAAGUUUGGUCUUUUAAUUUUAAGAAAAUGAAAAAAAUUAUAAUAAUUUUACUCUCCCCCAUCCCUCCUCUCUCGGUUUUCACACUCACUUAUAUUUCCCUCUCUUUCGGCUUUCUCUCUCCAUCACCAGCAUGCACUCAUUACACACAUUAACAUAUACUCACACACGCAGUUCUCACGCGUACACACAGAUUACACACACACACACACACCAGAAAACACAUGCACACACUAACACAAACAAAUCUGCACACACACCUCACUUUUUCCCUUUGCACUCUCUCACAAAUCACACACUGAAAAAGGAACAAAAGAAGAAGAAAGUGGGACAAAGGACAGCUGGGACUCAUGGAUUUCUUCACCAAAUUCUCCUUGUUCGAGUUGAAAGGCUACCAAUUUAAUGAAGGGCUUUGUUGCUUAGUGAAGGUUUCAGGCUGUGAUGAUAGAGUUAUUUUCUUGAGUUGUUGGCGUGGAGUUGAAUCCGACCCGUAUCUUGGCUGGGCAACCCUGAUGGCAUGUGAUCUGAGAGCGGGUGGGCUUCAAUUAGCUCCUCCUUUCUCCUUCACAUAUGCAACUGGGAAAUUGCAGCCAUGGCGCUGUCGCCUUCUCUUUUGCCUCGUCUUGUUACAGAUCUGAGCCUACGUCAGUACUCACCCAGUGUAUGAUGAUGAUGCUUUAGCUUCGUUCUUUAAAUUUUUCAUGAAAGAUUUCCCCUGUUUAAAUUCCUUAAAUUUUCUAACCCUUUAGUAUCUGUGUAGAAGAGAAUGGCUCCACCAAAAAGCCUCUUUUUUUUUUUUUUGACCAGAAUGAACUCAGGGAUGAAUUGAGGCUGCAGAGAGAAAAAUGGGGAAUUUUCUAAAGGGUUGUUGCCGUCUUUCUGCAUGCCAAUGAUUUCAUCAAAGAACAAAGAAAGAAAAAAAUCAACAGCCCUUUUUCAGCUCUGGUUUCUGAGAUUCUGAAUACUCCGGCAGAGAAAGGUAUCUACUAUUUGUUUGUGCCCGCGCGUGUAAAAACGUGUCUCCACCGUCACCACCAGCGUGAAUGGGUCCAGUCUUUCAGCUGGUUUUCGGGUCCCCUCCAUUGUUAUAGGCUGUGAAGAUCAGAUUCUUUAAUUCUUGAGUUCUUACUUCUUGUGGGCAUUGGGGUGACACGACCCGUAUCUUGGCGGGGCAACAUGGGCGCCUAGUAGAUUGCUCAUGGACCAAUGUGUGGUUUUGCAGCCAUGGCGGAGUCUGUCCCCCUCUGCCUGAUUCUUUCACAGAUGACAGAUCUGAAUUCUGAGCCUUACUACUUCCCUGACUGAAAUAUCCUGAAUUGUUCACGGCCAGAUUUUGGCAAAAAAAAAAAAAAAAAAUUGUGCGAUUCAGAUCACUAGUUGUACAUUAAUUUUGAUAAUAUGUGGAGCUCGUAAAAUUUUGUACUAAAGUUAAAUGUUGUUCAAAUAAAGUUAUGUUGUGUGUAAC